RNAcentral lists this ribosomal RNA (367 nucleotides) under uncultured organism. RNAcentral's name for it is "bacterial SSU rRNA". It matches the Rfam family "Bacterial small subunit ribosomal RNA", at positions 526 to 896 of the family's 1533-position model. The record is from RNAcentral.
CGUAGGUGGCAAGCGUUGUCCGGAUUUAUUGGGUUUAAGGGUGCGUAGGCGGUUCCAUAAGUCAGUGGUGAAAUACGGCAGCUCAACUGUCGAGGUGCCAUUGAUACUGCGGAACUUGAGUACUGAUGAGGUAGGCGGAAUUGACGGUGUAGCGGUGAAAUGCUUAGAUAUCGUCAAGAACACCGAUAGCGAAGGCAGCUUACCAAGCAGUAACUGACGCUGAGGCACGAAAGUGCGGGGAUCAAACAGGAUUAGAUACCCUGGUAGUCCGCACAGUAAACGAUGAUUACUCGAUGUUGGCGAUACACAGCCAGCGUCUUAGCGAAAGCGAUAAGUAAUCCACCUGGGGAGUACGCCCGCAAGGGUG